UUAAUUAAUUAAUUAAUUUUACUACGGUCCAGCCCUUUCUGACACUGCCGCCUCUUCCAUCCUCUCCACCGAUCGAUGCUCGCCGCUGGAAAUCGUCGCUCAUUCGCUGGAACAUUUCCGACGUAUUUCGAAGUCUCCGACGGUAGUCGGCUUCCUUGAGUGUCGCGUCUUUGUUCGCUUGAUGCCUGAUUUCGGAUGGCACUUCCCUUUCGACCAAGUUUAGAUCUAGGUCAUUUCUAGUGGUUUGCGGGGUUCUGUUCGAACCAAUGUUCAAGCGGCUGAUCUCGAUGGGAUUCGCAGUAAGAAGCACUUUUCGGGUGGAAAGCCUAUCCUAAUGAGCUGGUUGGACUGAAGUUUCAAAGGACAAAUUGUUCAGUGUACUUCCAAAGCCGUUCUACUCUUCAAUCUUUCUUCUAAGUGACAAGGAUUCAUCACGAUCUCUUCUUGGACGAGCUCAAGUUUAACAAAAAACUGCAUCCCUCAUGUAUCGGUAUGUUUGGUGUAGGUGUGUCUGAAAGGUUCUCUUAGCUCCCCCUUUUUCUUUCUAUUGGUUGCCUCAUUUUUUGUUUAUGUUCUAUUGACUAUAGUUGUAAGCACCUCACCUCCUUGUUAUGUGCCUUCCUUGUAAUAUAUGACAAUGCAAUGCAUAUGACAGAGAAAUCACUAUUUGUAGAUGACAUUAAAUUCAGGGUAUUUUAUUUUUAUUUUACAAAUUAUGAGGGUAAAAUAUAGUAUUCUAAACUAUAGAGGAAAUGAAAUAUUCUCAAGAAAUAUUUAUUUUGGGUGUUGCUACUAUUUAAUUUCGUGGUCUAAUUGGAUUAGAGUGUCAACGAAUCAUAUGCUUGGGCGUGGCACCGGUCUUAUCAACCUGAAACUUUGUUAGAAAUGAAUUGAAAGAAGCUUUGACUCUGCUAAAUUAUCAAGAAUAAAAUUUCACAUCACUUAUUUCCAUCAAGAGAUGAUAAAUCAAUCAAUAAAUAAUACUAAUAAGAAAAAUUAAAGAAAAUGAAACGACAUGAUGGCUGAGGCUCACAAAUCUAAUGCAAAGAUUUGUCCUUUCUGUUUGGGUUGAUUCCAAUCUUAUACUGUAAGGAUUCAAUCGGUGUUAUGCCGAUUGUUGGCACGACAGUGUGGAAAGUUUGUUGUAGAUUCUUUCAAUAUUUGACCAACCUAAUAAAUGUAUUAUUGAGAAUAUUAAAGCAGAAGAAUUGUGGAAGAAAGAUGUUAGAAACACCUCCACUUCAAUCUAAUACGACUUGCUCUUAGCGUGCUUGGCCCAACAAGUAGGCCAAGCAUAGAUUGUACUGUUUUUGACACAUAAGCUGGGGUCUUGAGGCUUGACACGAACCCACAAUUGGAUCAACGUGGAUCAUGGGCCCAGAACACCACAUUUUGUGAGUCGUAACGGGCUGUGUAAUGUGUCACCCUCUCACCUGACAAUUCUAGGUUAGCAGUUGUCAUUGAGCUCCAUAAAAGAAAUUCAUUGCCAGGAAUUGUUUGGCGUUAAACCAGGCACUCAAUUUUAAGGGGCCUGCUGACAACAUCCUAAGCAAUGUAGUGCUGAAGUGCUUGUGCCAAAAAAAGAAAUAAUACAAAACCAACAUGAGUGAAACUUGAAGCACUUGCAGGAUUUCAAGAAUAGUGUAAUAAAAGAAGAGGUAAUGACUUAUCCAAUGGCCACCAUUGGGUGGAGCAUCCGUCUUCUUUUGAUCAAAAUGGGAACUACAUUUAACUGUCUGUUUAUGUAUCUCAGUCAGAUUUAUAUGGAAAGUACAUUUCACAUUUGAAGGAACUCAAAUUUGCUCUUUGAACAACUAAAUAGUCUACAGUCUCGACACCAAAAUAGUUGGCUUUUCUGCGGAUUGCAUUAUGGAUUAUUUCAUGUAAGUCUUUCUCAUUUAAGGAAACAUAACGUGUUCUCAUAUUGGUUCUGAUUCUCAUGUAUCUUAUGAGCAUGUUCUGUAACUCGUUGCUUCUGAUAAGGAAAUGAAACCAAAUGUUAGGUUUGCUCAUGUUGCUAUUGGCUACAAAUAACUACAGUGUCAGGUGCUUCAUUAAGCAAUCAAAGAAGCUUUAUUACCAAGCAGGAGACCUUCAGAUUUCCAUCAAAUGAAUGGUGUUAAAUGAUUAACUGGAAGCUCAAAAGCUCUUCGAUUAGCUUGGAAGAUUCAAAUGGCAAUACCCGGCAUGAAUGUUCCACAAUUAAAGUUCGGUAUCACAACUCAGAAGGCAGUUUGUUGCAAGCAAGCAAGCAACCAACAUUAAUACAAUUUGAUUUCUUCCAUCACAGUCAUAACUACACCCAUGCCUUUGUUCAUUAAUUGCUCUUCUAUAGUUCUGACGUUUUGUUUUUUCACUCCUCAUGUUGACCAGGAAGAUCAGAAUGAUCAGAUAGAAGAUCUUCCAAAAGGAUGACAACUUUUAGAAAUUCAGGCACCACCUUUGAUAAGUCCUUCGCCUGAAUUAUCAGGCGCGACCUCUUGCUCGAGCAACAACUACAUAUUCCUAUCGUCCCAUGAUGAUCGUCUACUACGAGGAGAGGUUCUCCAUGGAAUCCCUUGAACUCGGACUCACAAUGACUUCCAAGUUUUUAGGUCACAUUUUUUAUGAAAGAAAGCAAGUGUAAAA
Zingiber officinale is the source of this 2628-nucleotide long non-coding RNA. RefSeq lists it as uncharacterized. The record is from RefSeq and is a predicted model, not a curated record. The transcript is spliced from 4 exons. NCBI's taxonomy places the organism in Eukaryota, Viridiplantae, Streptophyta, Magnoliopsida, Zingiberales, Zingiberaceae.